GCCAGCAUAGCUCAGUUGGUAGAGCAGCCGCCUUGUAAGCGGCAGGUCAUCGGUUCAAGUCCGAUUGCUGGCUCCC
RNAcentral lists this transfer RNA (76 nucleotides) under Opitutia bacterium Tous-C2FEB. RNAcentral describes it as "Opitutae bacterium Tous-C2FEB tRNA-Thr". It matches the Rfam family "tRNA". From Rfam's summary of the family: Transfer RNA (tRNA) molecules are approximately 80 nucleotides in length. Their secondary structure includes four short double-helical elements and three loops (D, anti-codon, and T loops). Further hydrogen bonds mediate the characteristic L-shaped molecular structure. tRNAs have two regions of fundamental functional importance: the anti-codon, which is responsible for specific mRNA codon recognition, and the 3' end, to which the tRNAs corresponding amino acid is attached (by aminoacyl-tRNA synthetases). tRNAs cope with the degeneracy of the genetic code in two manners: having more than one tRNA (with a specific anti-codon) for a particular amino acid; and 'wobble' base-pairing, i.e. permitting non-standard base-pairing at the 3rd anti-codon position. RNAcentral also lists the same sequence under 2 other names. The record is from RNAcentral. Lineage: Bacteria; Pseudomonadati; Verrucomicrobiota; Opitutia.